Non-coding RNA from Dermatophagoides pteronyssinus (European house dust mite), 72 nucleotides. The record is from the annotation of a RefSeq genome assembly. NCBI's taxonomy places the organism in Eukaryota, Metazoa, Arthropoda, Arachnida, Sarcoptiformes, Pyroglyphidae.
GGGUACAUAGCUCAGCGGUAGAGCAACUGACUGCAGAUCAGUAGGUCCUCGGUUCAAUUCCGAGUGUGCCCU